RNAcentral lists this ribosomal RNA (854 nucleotides) under Oceanobacillus sp. Its description in RNAcentral is "bacterial SSU rRNA". It matches the Rfam family "Bacterial small subunit ribosomal RNA", at positions 97 to 936 of the family's 1533-position model. The record is from RNAcentral. Lineage: Bacteria; Bacillati; Bacillota; Bacilli; Caryophanales; Bacillaceae.
GGCGGACGGGUGAGUAACACGUGGGCAACCUGCCUGUAAGACUGGGAUAACCCCGGGAAACCGGGGCUAAUACCGGAUAAUACUUUCUUUUGCAUAAAGGAAAGUUGAAAGGCGGCUUCGGCUGUCACUUACAGAUGGGCCCGCGGCGCAUUAGCUAGUUGGUGAGGUAACGGCUCACCAAGGCGACGAUGCGUAGCCGACCUGAGAGGGUGAUCGGCCACACUGGGACUGAGACACGGCCCAGACUCCUACGGGAGGCAGCAGUAGGGAAUCUUCCGCAAUGGACGAAAGUCUGACGGAGCAACGCCGCGUGAGUGAUGAAGGUUUUCGGAUCGUAAAACUCUGUUGUUAGGGAAGAACAAGUACGAUAGUAACUGAUCGUACCUUGACGGUACCUAACCAGAAAGCCACGGCUAACUACGUGCCAGCAGCCGCGGUAAUACGUAGGUGGCAAGCGUUGUCCGGAAUUAUUGGGCGUAAAGCGCUCGCAGGCGGUCCUUUAAGUCUGAUGUGAAAUCUCGCGGCUCAACCGCGAACGGUCAUUGGAAACUGGAGGACUUGAGUACAGAAGAGGAGAGUGGAAUUCCACGUGUAGCGGUGAAAUGCGUAGAGAUGUGGAGGAACACCAGUGGCGAAGGCGACUCUCUGGUCUGUAACUGACGCUGAGGAGCGAAAGCGUGGGGAGCGAACAGGAUUAGAUACCCUGGUAGUCCACGCCGUAAACGAUGAGUGCUAGGUGUUAGGGGGUUUCCGCCCCUUAGUGCUGAAGUUAACGCAUUAAGCACUCCGCCUGGGGAGUACGGCCGCAAGGCUGAAACUCAAAAGAAUUGACGGGGGCCCGCACAAGCGGUGGA